Molecule: ribosomal RNA, 253 nt
Filed under: uncultured bacterium
Lineage: Bacteria
Description: partial 16S ribosomal RNA
Rfam family: Bacterial small subunit ribosomal RNA
Source: RNAcentral
UACGUAGGGUGCGAGCGUUGUUCGGAUUCACUGGGCGUAAAGGGUGCGUAGGCGGUCGGGUAAGUCUGAUGUGAAAUCUCCAAGCUCAACUUGGAAAUGGCAUCGGAUACUAUUCGGCUCGAGGAAUGGAGGGGAGACUGGAAUACUUGGUGUAGCAGUGAAAUGCGUAGAUAUCAAGUGGAACACCAGUGGCGAAGGCGAGUCUCUGGACAUUUCCUGACGCUGAGGCACGAAAGCCAGGGGAGCAAACGGG